RNAcentral lists this ribosomal RNA (253 nucleotides) under uncultured bacterium. RNAcentral's name for it is "partial 16S ribosomal RNA". It matches the Rfam family "Bacterial small subunit ribosomal RNA", at positions 524 to 776 of the family's 1533-position model. The record is from RNAcentral.
UACGUAGGGCGCAAGCGUUAUCCGGAAUUAUUGGGCGUAAAGAGCUCGUAGGCGGUUUGUCGCGUCUGCUGUGAAAAUCCAGGGCUUAACCCUGGACCUGCAGUGGGUACGGGCAGACUAGAGUGCGGUAGGGGAGAUCGGAAUUCCUGGUGUAGCGGUGAAAUGCGCAGAUAUCAGGAGGAACACCGGUGGCGAAGGCGGAUCUCUGGGCCGUAACUGACGCUGAGGAGCGAAAGCAUGGGGAGCGAACAGG